Molecule: ribosomal RNA, 432 nt
Filed under: uncultured bacterium
Lineage: Bacteria
Description: bacterial SSU rRNA
Rfam family: Bacterial small subunit ribosomal RNA
Source: RNAcentral
AACGAACGCUGGCGGCAGGCCUAACACAUGCAAGUCGAGCGGGACCUUCGGGUCUAGCGGCGGACGGGUUAGUAACGCGUGGGAACGUGCCCAAAGGUACGGAAUAGCCUCGGGAAACUGAGAGUAAUACCGUAUGUGCCCCUCGGGGGAAAGAUUUAUCGCCUUUGGAUCGGCCCGCGUUGGAUUAGGUAGUUGGUGGGGUAAUGGCCUACCAAGCCGACGAUCCAUAGCUGGUUUGAGAGGAUGAUCAGCAACACUGGGACUGAGACACGGCCCAGACUCCUACGGGAGGCAGCAGUGGGGAAUCUUAGACAAUGGGGGAAACCCUGAUCUAGCCAUGCCGCGUGAGCGAUGAAGGCCUUAGGGUUGUAAAGCUCUUUCAGAUGGGAAGAUAAUGACGGUACCAUCAGAAGAAGCCCCGGCUAACUCCGU